UAUUCCUGGGCCGGCUACCAGAAAGAACUAGGGGUGGUGGGUCCAGUUUAUAAGUAAAUGGGGCAAAAGACAAACCCGUGCCCACCAGAUCUCAGGUCCAUCUUGCCCCCACUUCGCUGCUCAAUAGAACAAAUAAAGCAAUCAGAAGCAGCUCUCCCAACAAAGACUCUGGGUACACAGGGGUAUCAGUAUCUCCUUUGGCUUAAAAGAGCAGACUCAGACAGCUUUUCCCAAAGCAUGGGUCUCAUCUCACCAUCUCACCAAGGGGGCAUUUACUGUGGUGUAUUGCAUGACCAUGAGAAAGGGAUUUCUUUUUCAGUUCUCUUUCCAGGAGAAAGCUUUGUCUCAGUGUUUAAGCGUCAACACCUCUCCCCCUUAACUACUCUCUAUGCAGGAAAAAUGGAGCCAAUCCCAGGCUCACAGUCUUGGUUGGCCAGAGUGCCUAGGUAGAAUUUAAUCACUUGUUUUGUUUCUGUAUUACGUGCAUUUACAGUAUGGAGAUGUAUGGAAGUGCUACUUGCCCACAAGUACUAUUAGUGGUAGCAAUACAAAGUAUCCUUUGAAAUUUAAGUUUCAAAAAGUGAAUCGACUUAAAGGAAACUAAUAAGUAAACAAUAGUACAGUAGGUGCACAGAUAGGGCAAAAUCAUAAAAGCACGGUUUGUGGAUGGAAUUUGGGGACCCUCAAGUUGAGGGAGACUGACAGAGAAGGCAGUAGUUGGAAUGCAAAUCCUGUUCUCCAUUUGGAGUCUGAAGCUGUCCAGGGAUUUAGCAACUCUCUUCCUCUUCUUCUCCCACUCCAUCCCCAGGAGUACCCGCUGGCAGCUCUUGCAGGCACCGCCUGCCACUGUGGAUUUCCCACCACCCGAUUCCCACUCCAUGACAGAGAGGAUGAGCAGCUCUGUGCCCAGAAGUGCAGCGCGGAGGAGUUUGAGAGCUGUGGAACUCCUAGUUACUUCAUUGUGUACCAGACACAAGUCCAAGACAACCGUUGCAUGGACAGAAGGUUCCUGCCGGGCAAGUCCAAGCAACUCAUUGCUUUGGCCAGCUUUCCAGGGGCCGGCAACACAUGGGCUCGCCACCUCAUUGAGCUGGCCACGGGCUUCUACACUGGCAGCUACUACUUCGAUGGCUCCCUCUACAACAAAGGGUUUAAAGGUGAGCGGGACCACUGGCGCAGCGGACGGACCAUUUGCAUCAAGACGCACGAAAGCGGCCAGAAAGAGAUCGAGGCUUUCGACGCCGCCAUCCUGCUCAUCCGCAACCCCUACAAGGCCCUCAUGGCUGAGUUCAACCGCAAGUACGGCGGCCACAUAGGCUUUGCUGCGCAUGCCCACUGGAAGGGCAAAGAGUGGCCAGAGUUCGUGAGGAACUAUGCCCCAUGGUGGGCCACUCACACACUGGACUGGCUCAAGUUCGGCAAGAAAGUGCUGGUGGUUCACUUUGAGGACCUGAAGCAGGACCUCUUCAUCCAGCUGGGCCGGAUGGUCAACCUGCUGGGCGUGGCUGUCAGGGAGGACCGGUUGCUCUGUGUGGAGAGCCAGAAGGAUGGUAACUUCAAGCGCUCGGGGCUCCGGAAGCUCGAAUAUGACCCGUAUACUGCAGACAUGCAGAAGACCAUCUCUGCCUAUAUCAAGAUGGUGGACGCGGCCCUCAAAGGGCGGAACCUCACGGGUGUCCCCGAUGACUACUACCCAAGAUGA
Macaca nemestrina (pig-tailed macaque) is the source of this 1702-nucleotide long non-coding RNA. The record is from Ensembl. NCBI's taxonomy places the organism in Eukaryota, Metazoa, Chordata, Mammalia, Primates, Cercopithecidae.